AUGCGCGCCUUAAGGUUGUUUUCAAGUCUUUUCCCUUUUCCAUCGCCUCCUCCUCCUCACCAAACGUGCUUCCCUUUGGGGUUUUCUCAUUGGUGCGUGCGUUUUGGAUUCCCUUCCCCUUCCCACCCCGCUCCCCCUUUUCGAUUGUGCUGCGCGAGAGAAAUCGCAUUUUUUGGGGGUGGAUUUCGCUCAUCGGUUUCUUGCCCUGGUACGGUCCCGUCGCCUGAUGUGAAGAUGGCGAGCAGUGCAUCCGAGAAGUGGGCUGUGGUGCAAUACGGACACCACGGUCCUGCAACCAAAGUCUACCGGUUUCAGAUCCUGUUGCCAAAUGGCACAAGCACCAGCCUCAAGCUGCGCGAUCCUGGAGAAGAGAUGCCGCUUCCUGAUUUCUUACAUCGUAUUCGGGAAGAGUUGGGCGAUGCCUCCGCAUAUGGUGGUCAAAGGCGGGGAAUUGAAUGGGAUGGCGAUGUUUAUCUAGAGGACCUGCUGGACAGAAAGAUAGACAAGAAAGUGCAGUUCUGUGAUUUUGUCACGAAGGGUACUAACAUAUUAAGACUCCAGGAUGGUGAAGAAUUUGUCCGGACAUAUGAGAAUAUGUGGGACCUUACACCUCCGACUGAACUGCUUCAAGAGCUUCCGGCAGAAUAUAGCACUGAGAGUGCUCUUGCAGACCUUGUUGACAACUCAUUACAGGCUUUGUGGUCAAAUGGUAGCAAAGAAAUAAAGUUAAUCAGGAUAACUGUUGAUGGAGAAAAGAUUGUGGUUUUUGAUACUGGUAGGGGGAUGGACGGUUCAGAAGAUAAUUCUAUCUCUAAAUGGGGUACAAUGGGUUCUUCUAACCACAGAGUAUUUCGGAAACAAGGUAUCGGCGGGAAAGCGCCAUACUUAGUGCCUUUCUUUGGCAUGUUUGGCUAUGGUGGAACUAUUGCAUCGAUGCAUCUUGGAAGAACUGCCAUAGUUUCUUCUAAAACUAAGGAAUCAAGGAAAGUGUUUACCUUGCAUCUUUCGAGGGAGGCUCUGUUGGAGAAGUCUUCAUCUAAACUCAGCUGGAAGACUGCUGGAGGAGUUAGAGAUCCAUCUGAAGAAGAGUUGGCACUGUCGCCACAUCGAAGUUUUACACAGGUGGAAAUCCACGGCUUGAAUAGGCACUUGGAGCCAGCUAAACUUCGAGGAUUUCUGAAGGACAUAUAUUUUCCAUAUAUACAGUAUGACGAGGAUAAUGGAUCUGCGAGUACAAGGAGGCCAGUUCAAUUUGAGGUGAAUGGUGUAGAUUUAGCAGAAAUACAGGAAAGUGAAGUGACACUUACUAAUCUGCACUCUUCUAAUGGUCCUGAUUUCGAUCUGCAUCUAAAAUUUGCUUGUACUUCAACAAAUGCAGCUAGUCGCCAAGCACAUGCUCGGAUCAAGUGUGUAUACUUUCCAAUUGUCAAGGGAAAAGAAUCUAUCGAUUCUAUUUUAGAAAAGUUAAGCGAAAAUGGCUUGGGGGUGAAAGAAAACUUUGACAAUUUUUCACGUGUGUCAGUCCGCCGACUUGGCCGGUUACUCCCUGAUGCAAGAUGGGGUUCUCUUCCUUUCAUGGAACCUAAACAGAAUAAAGGACAAAAAGCUGAACUCCUGAAGCGAUGCUGCAAGAGGGUGAAAUGUUUUGUUGAAACGGAUGCGGGUUUUAAUCCAACUCUUUCUAAGACUGAUUUAGCACAACACGAUGUUUUUACUAAGGCACUUCGCUGCUUUGAUGGCAGUUGUCAUAAUGACAGCUCAGUUGAGGAGGUUAGUGUUGAUGCUCGUAAAGGUGAAAGAUCACUAAAUCGCACGCAAUUGGAGAAGCAGUAUCACGACUGGAUUAAUAAUAUGCAUGCAAAGUAUGACGUGGAAAUGGACGGAGGGGACGACGAGCAUACUGUUAUUAUCAACCCAAGCAACAAGGAGCGACUUGGAAUAUCUAAAGAUGUUGAAGUUAUUAGAGUUCACACCUCGGUUAGCAGAAAAGGAAAAACAUGGAGAAGAGGAGAUCAUCUGAAAAUCCAACCAAGAGUAGUUGCACGAAUGAAAAACAAUUUCUACUCAUCGAAAAGCAAUUUCUAUGGAACACUGGAAUAUGUUGUUGUUGAAGGACUUCGAGGAGAUAUCUGUGGUGAAGCUCGACUUAUAUGCAGGUCUAUUGAGUGCCCUGGUGAUCAAGGUUGCUUACUCGAGGUAGGUCAAGAUAGUGUGCACCUUAAUAUCAAGGAAUCUUUCUCCUUCCCUAUCAGCGUGAUAGAUGAUAACAAGUGUCAAACCAUGGACGAGGAUUCGUGGUGUCAAAUGCUUAGAAAGAAAAGUGCAAAGGCUCCAGCGUGUAUUGAGGUCUUACGGAAUUCACAAGGCAAUGAUCUUGCUAUAGAUGGGGAUGUACCGUUUGAAAAAGUUAUAGCGGCUGGUUAUAACCAUCCACGUGAAAUUAUAGCUGUAAUCCGGCCACAAAACGCUACAACCUGCUCCACCAGCCUCCUUGACAAGAGAUAUAUUGUGAAGGAUGAUGAUCUAGAGAUGGCAAUGGAGAUUUAUCAUCUGCCUGGAAGCAAAGAUCAUCCUCGUGCAAAGCUUAUUUAUAAAAAGCUCAAGAAACCCUCAUCGUGCAAUAGCAUAAAUGGACUGUAUAUCUUUCAGUUGAGCGAAGAGACAAGCAUGUUUACUAAAUCUGGUGUUUACAGUUUUAUUUUCUCAGUUAGGUGCAGAGAUUCAACUGUCAUUAAGCAUGAAUCGAGGAUAACAGUUCGUCCAAACUCCAAUACUAGACAUUGGCAGUUAUCCUGCGAUGCUGAUUGGUCUGCUGACAAUGCUGUAGUAGAUAUAAGGCUUGGAAUGCCAGUUAGAUGUCUUGCAGCUAGAAGCCAUGAUUUGUAUGGGAACGGAAUUCCUUUCCUUGAUGUACAUAAGGCCGUCAUAACUAUACUUGGUGGUGAUGAUAUUCUAGCUCAGGUUAAGGACAUCAAAGUGGAUCUCUCAACAGAUUUAUUGACUCUGUAUAUCAGAGAUUUUCUGUUCAAAACCAACAAAUUGGACAGAGUAAGGCCGAAUUAUGAAGCGAUGUUAAAGAUUUCUUUAUCUGAUAGUGAACUCUCUCAUCCAUGUAAAGUUAAGCCAGGUCUUCCGUCAACAAUUAAUAUGGAUAUGUCCCUUGCUUGGGAGAAGAAUUUAACUCCUGGAGAAGUUAUUGAUGAUGCCCUUCUAGAGGUGCUCGAUCAUUGUGGCAAUCAUGUUGAAGAAGGGACGGAACUUAUUGUCAAUACUGUUGGACUCUCCUUUGUAGAUAAAUGCGGACCUGUUCGAAAGGUAAACAGCGAAGGAUUUGUUGACCUACGUGGAAUGCUUAAAGUUGUUAGCGGAUUUGGUUCAGAAGCUUGUUUGACGAUUUUUCAUCACAAGAAAAAGAUUUUCAAUAGAACAUUUCAAAUUGCUAUCAGGAAUUUGAAAGCUGUUAAGGUUCCGGAAAGUUGUCCUGCUGGGACCUUCUUGGAGAACAUAAUAUUUGAAGUUUCUGACUGUGAUGGAGUGAUUGACGAGUCAAUACAUGGACUCCAACAUACACUUAGCAUCAGGUCGAAUCAAUUAAAAGAUGUGCAAGGAGCACAAUAUGCAUUUGAACAUGGAAGAUGUGUUCUUCCUCGUGCACAGGUUCCUAAUGAACCAGGAACAGUCAGUUUUGUGGCAUAUCAUACACAUUUUUCUGACCUGGAAACAAUAAUUCAGAUUCAUGUUUAUGCUCUUGAUUUAGUGCGAGUAAACUCGGAGAACGACUUUGAACCUAUAUGCAGCUACCCAACUUCAUCUCUAUCAAGUCAAGAUCUUUUAUCUCCAAGUCAACUUGCUUCUUGUCAAUCUGUUAGAUACAUUGAGGAUGCUCUGAGGAAAGUUUCUGAUGAGAUUGAAUCAAUUGAUUCCAAUAUACGCUCUGAAGAAGAAAUGAUUAAAUUUCUUGAUUCUCAAAAGAAAUCUGUGGAGAAUCGUAUUGCCAGUCUGAAAGAUGAGAUUGGCCACAGAGUUGGCGCAAAAGAGAUAACUCGUCAUAAAAUUGAAGAGAAUGUUGGUACUGCUGCUGCUGUUCUAUGUAAUCUCUCCAACCGUAAAGCAUAUGAACCAGGGCGAUCUUUCAAGGAUGAAGUUGUUGGUAUUGUUGCUCUUCUCGGAACUGUUGCUAACAGAGAUCUCAGUAGGAUGCUUUCUGUGUAUCUUGGUGAAGACAACAUGCUUGCAGUGGUUUGCAAGACUCAGGAUGCUGCUAAUUACUUUGAAAAAUAUGACACUGAAGGAAAUGUGGAUAUUCGCUUUGGUAUUCAUCAGGAAGCAGCUAAACUAGGAGUCCCAAUAAGCAGGAGAUUUCCUAUCAUAUGCCUGGAUGAAAUAAGGCCAUAUAAUGGAGACGUCUUUUGGAACAUAAGGCAAAAAAAGCUAAAUCUGCCUUUUCCACAUUCGAAGACGCACAAGGGAUUUCGUGGGCUUGCGGUCAACUUGAUCAAUCUUUCUGCAGAGAACUUGGAGAUAAUCACAAGUAGUGGACAUGGUCUCCGUGAAACCUUAUUUUAUAGGCUCUUUGGAGAGCUUCAAGUUUAUGAAACACGGAAUGACAUGCGGCAAGCUAUGCCUCAUUUGAGGAAUGGGGCUAUAUCUUUGGAUGGUGGGAUUAUAAAGGGUGAUGGUAUGCUGCUGCUCGGUUACAGUGACCCGGAGAUCAUAUUUCCUGUCAUGCCUGAUGCUCCCGACAUUCUGGAAGACCCUGAGGAUGUGUUCACCAAAGUAAAAAAGAUGAACGCAGAGAAGAGUGUUCUGGAAACGGUGGAGAACAAGAUAAGAAAAGCCGAAGAGAAUCGGCAGAAAUUGGUCAUGAAGCGCAACAAGAAGAAACGCAAAUUCGACGAGAUGGCGGAGGUAAUGAGCCAGCCCAGUGGCAGCCAGCUUGAUCAGUAUCACCCAGUGUCACAGUAG
This 4965-nucleotide ribosomal RNA is filed under the name Triticum aestivum (bread wheat). RNAcentral's name for it is "partial small subunit ribosomal RNA". The record is from RNAcentral. Lineage: Eukaryota; Viridiplantae; Streptophyta; Magnoliopsida; Poales; Poaceae.